This 491-nucleotide ribosomal RNA is filed under the name uncultured bacterium. Its description in RNAcentral is "partial 16S ribosomal RNA". It matches the Rfam family "Bacterial small subunit ribosomal RNA", at positions 28 to 507 of the family's 1533-position model. The record is from RNAcentral.
GAUGAACGCUCGCUAUAGGCUUAACACAUGCAAGUCGAGGGGAAACGCCAUUAGCGCUUGCUUCCAUCGUCGUCCACCCGCGCACGUGUGAGUAACGCAUCUCCCCCCUGCCUCUGGGCUAGCGCUACCCCAUCCGAACUCGUCCCGCUACAUUCUGCAGUCGCCGGAGGUCAUCUGAUUUCGACGAAAAUUGUCAUCGGUUAGGCAUGGGGAUGCGUCUGAUUAGCUUGUUGGCGGGGUAACGGCCCACCAAGGCGACGAUCAGUAGGGGUUCUGAGAGGAAGGUCCCCCACACUGGAACUGAGACACGGUCCAAACGCCUACGGGAGGCAGCAGUGAGGAAUAUUGGUCAAUGGGCGAGAGCCUGAACCAGCCAAGUAGCGUGAAGGAGGACGGCCCUAUGGGUUGUAAACUGCUUUUAUGAGGGGAUAAAGUGAGGGACGUGUACUUCAUUGCAGGUACCGUAUGAAUAAGGACCGGCUAAUUCCGUG